UACGUAGGGGGCAAGCGUUAUCCGGAUUUACUGGGUGUAAAGGGGGCGCAGACGGCGAUGCAAGCCAGGAGUGAAAGCCCGGGGCCCAACCCCGGGACUGCUUUGGAAACUGCCAUGCUAGAGUGCUGGAGAGGUAAGCGGAAUUCCUAGUGUAGCGGUGAAAUGCGUAGAUAUUAGGAGGAACACCAGUGGCGAAGGCGGCCUGCUGGGCUUUUACUGACGCUGAGGCUCGAAAGUGUGGGUAUCAAACAGG
RNAcentral lists this ribosomal RNA (253 nucleotides) under uncultured Eubacteriales bacterium. RNAcentral's name for it is "uncultured Clostridiales bacterium partial 16S ribosomal RNA". It matches the Rfam family "Bacterial small subunit ribosomal RNA", at positions 524 to 776 of the family's 1533-position model. Lineage: Bacteria; Bacillati; Bacillota; Clostridia; Eubacteriales. The record is from RNAcentral.